UGGGGAAUCUUGGACAAUGGGGGCAACCCUGAUCCAGCCAUGCCGCGUGAGUGAUGAAGGCCUUAGGGUCGUAAAGCUCUUUCGCCUGUGAAGAUAAUGACGGUAGCAGGUAAAGAAACCCCGGCUAACUCCGUGCCAGCAGCCGCGGUAAUACGGAGGGGGUUAGCGUUGUUCGGAAUUACUGGGCGUAAAGCGCACGUAGGCGGACCAGAAAGUUGGGGGUGAAAUCCCGGGGGCUCAACCCCGGAACUGCCUCCAAAACUAUUGGUCUAGAGUUCGAGAGAGGUGAGUGGAAUUCCAAGUGUAGAGGUGAAAUUCGUAGAUAUUUGGAGGAACACCAGUGGCGAAGGCGGCUCACUGGCUCGAUACUGACGCUGAGGUGCGAAAGUGUGGGGAGCAAACAGGAUUAGAUACCCUGGUAGUCCACACCGUAAAACGAUGAAUGCCAGUCGUCGGGUAGCAUGCUAUUCGGUGACGCAG
RNAcentral lists this ribosomal RNA (480 nucleotides) under uncultured bacterium. RNAcentral describes it as "bacterial SSU rRNA". It matches the Rfam family "Bacterial small subunit ribosomal RNA", at positions 355 to 851 of the family's 1533-position model. The record is from RNAcentral.